This 335-nucleotide small nuclear RNA is filed under the name Mustela putorius furo (domestic ferret). RNAcentral's name for it is "7SK RNA (ENSMPUG00000021696.1)". It matches the Rfam family "7SK RNA". Rfam says of the family: 7SK was discovered as an abundant small nuclear RNA in the mid-70s but a possible function has only recently been suggested. Two independent studies have found that 7SK RNA binds the CDK9/cyclin T complex (known as elongation factor P-TEFb). Lineage: Eukaryota; Metazoa; Chordata; Mammalia; Carnivora; Mustelidae. The record is from Rfam by way of RNAcentral.
GAAUGAGAGGGCAAUCUGGCUACAACAUCUGUCACCCCAUUGAUCGCUGGGUUUGAUCUGGCUGAUUUGGCUGGCUUAUAUGGGUGUCCCUUUCCUCCCUCAGUACUCAUAUGUCUCCUUUUCAAGCUGCCUGUGCCCUUGGUCAGGGAGGAUGACCUUCCCUGAGAGAUGAGGACCGUUCUUUGGGUCAAGGGUAUAGGAAGAGGUGUGCUUUCCUGCUAGAACUUCUAAACAAUCUCUCAAAGCUCAUUUGUAGGAGAAAGUAGGGUAGUCAAGUUUCUAAGCCUCCAGACACAUCCAAAUGAGGCACUACAUGUGGGAGUCUGCCUUUCUUU